UGCUGCAGAAAGACUUUGACCUGAUUCCUGUCCAGCCCCUACACCCACCCAUUCACCCCAGCAGCUGCUGAUGGGUCUUUUAAUAAAGGGGAAAGAUGGUGGAGUCACAGAAUUGGAGGGCUUGAUAACCUAGUUCAAUUAAUGUCGGUUGGUUUGGACUGCUUCAUUUGGUGGAGCUUACACACACAAACGCAUAAACACAGUCCAGGUGGGACAUGGUGUAUGGGUUGGAUUAUAAAUGAGCUGCCAUUGGUGUGUUACUGUAUGGUGCAGAAAUUGCUGUGAUUAUUGAGUCAUGGUUAAGCUCUGUAGUAUGAAGCAAGUGCUUCAUGCUUCAUUUCUA
Molecule: long non-coding RNA, 343 nt
Organism: Oreochromis niloticus (Nile tilapia)
Lineage: Eukaryota; Metazoa; Chordata; Actinopteri; Cichliformes; Cichlidae
Exons: 2
Source: RefSeq, a predicted model, not a curated record